AAACUUUGGAAACUUUUCAGAAAAUAAUCUGUAUACCCAUAGAUCAGAGGUACACAAUUUAGUUUACCAUUCAAAUUAAGAAAUGGAAUCUAUAACAUAAAAAUCUUCAAUAAUAUAUAAAUGAAUCGCAAAAUGUGUUGGAUCGUUUUACCGCGACGAGAUAAAUUCGAAUAGUUGCCAGAAAAACCGUGAAGACAAUAGUUUUCUAAAUAAAAUAUUAACGAAACAAAUUCCGCAGCUUUCUUCGAUUUAUUUUUGAUUAAUUGUUUUAUAUCGUGUUUUGUUAUAAUUUGUUCCUGAAAGGAUGGCCACAGUUCGUGGAAGCGAAGAUACUUUGAUCCCCCGAGCUGAACCCACACACCACCCUAUUUCCAGGGUGACGGUUCUGCUCAGGAGACAUUUUGCGCCGACUGUAAAGUAGAUAGGAAUAAAAAAUUGCUACAUUCCAAAUCUUUUUGACAGAACGAAGUCUGUCGGGGCCACUAGUAUUUAAAACUUAUAUAAGCUGCAGUCAGGGUAAUUUUGUGCUUCUUAAAAUUCUACUCAUCAAAAUGAUGCACUGCAAAUCAUGCAACCUUUCAAUUAAUAAUUUGUAAAUUAUUUACUCAGGAUUUAAAUCAAAAUACAUAUGCGGUUAUGCCAAUGAUUUACAACCUAGAUGUGUAACUCGAUGAAAGACCGACAACAUUAAAUACAUAGUCAAUUAUAAAAAAUAAAAUAGCCUAAAUAAUUACGACAAUUAGCUAUGUACACAAAUAGAAAAAUACAUAAUAAUAGUAACUAGGAUCGUCUUCUGCGCCUACUAAAUAUUUUUAAACCCAAAUUUCGUAUUUUGAUUCCAAUUGCUUCAAUUUACAUUCAUAACAAGAUAAAUUAUUUAACAAUGAUGUCAAUUGUUGGACAGCUUACGUUACAAAUACAGUUCGAUUUCUUUGAUAUUAAUCCAUCUAAUAAUAUAGAAAAUAUUAACAAUGUUCAAUGAUGUUAUAUCUUUUAGUCCGCUUUAAAUGUUUUCGAUGACAACAAGGCACCUUCAAGG
Long non-coding RNA from Dalotia coriaria, 1039 nucleotides. RefSeq lists it as uncharacterized. Lineage: Eukaryota; Metazoa; Arthropoda; Insecta; Coleoptera; Staphylinidae. The transcript has 2 exons. The record is from RefSeq and is a predicted model, not a curated record.